CUACAUUCAAACUCCAUAGUUCUUUCUUUGGAUGUGGAUAGCAUUUUCCAUCAUGAGACUUUUGGAGAUGACUUAGAUCCUUGCAUUGCUGAGAAGGGCUAAAUCUAUCAAACUCACUCAUCACACAGCGUGGCUGUUACUGUGUACAACGUUCUCCUGGUUCUGCUCACUUCACUCAGCAUCAGUCCAUAAAAGUCUUUCCAGGUUUUUCUGAAGUCCACCUGCUCAUCAUUUCUUACAGCACAAUAGUAUUCCAUUACAUUCAUAUACCAAAACUUGUUCAGUCAUUCCCCAAUUGAUGGGCAUCCCCUCAAUUUGCAGUUCUUUGCCACCACAAAAAGAGCUGCCAUAAAUAUUUUUGUACAUUUUCCCAUUUUUAUGAUCUCUUUGGGACACAGCCCUAGAAGUGCUAUUGCUGGGUCAAAGGGUAUGCACAUUUUUAUAGCCUUUUGGGCAUAGUUCCAAAUUGCUGUCCAAAAUGAUUGGAUCAUUUCACAACUCCACCAACAAUGCAUUAAUGUUUCAUGGCCUUUUCUUCAGGAGGGAGUGUAGCAGAAGCUUAAUGAAUGAUGAGCUACAUAAAGUUCUGAAAAAUUUUUAGUAUGACUGUUCAGAAAACAUUAAUGAAAAUUUCAAGACGUACUUCUCCCCAUAACAUUCCCAUAAUGAAGCCUUUUUGAUGGGAGAUGUACGUAGAUGCCAGUGGUUUUAGGUGAGUGAAUGAUAGAC
This 729-nucleotide long non-coding RNA is filed under the name Phascolarctos cinereus (koala). RNAcentral describes it as "lncRNA (ENSPCIG00000026011.2)". Lineage: Eukaryota; Metazoa; Chordata; Mammalia; Diprotodontia; Phascolarctidae. The record is from RNAcentral.